Molecule: ribosomal RNA, 440 nt
Filed under: uncultured bacterium
Lineage: Bacteria
Description: partial 16S ribosomal RNA
Rfam family: Bacterial small subunit ribosomal RNA
Source: RNAcentral
CCUACGGGUGGCAGCAGUGGGGGAUAUUGCACAAUGGGGGAAACCCUGAUGCAGCGACGCCGCGUGGGUGAAGAAGCGCCUCGGCGCGUAAAGCCCUGUCAGCAGGGAAGAAAAUGACGGUACCUGAAGAAGAAGCCCCGGCUAACUACGUGCCAGCAGCCGCGGUAAUACGUAGGGGGCAAGCGUUAUCCGGAUUUACUGGGUGUAAAGGGGGCGCAGACGGGGAUGCAAGCCAGGAGUGAAAGCCCGGGGCCCAACCCCGGGACUGCUCUUGGAACUGCGGGACUAGAGUGCAGGAGGGGCAGGCGGAAUGCCUGGUGUAGCGGUGAAAUGCGUAGAUAUCAGGAGGAACACCGAUGGCGAAGGCAGCCUGCUGGACUGCAACUGACGUUGAGGCCCGAAAGCGUGGGGAGCAAACAGGAUUAGAUACCCGAGUAGUC